UUAAAUUGAAGAGUUUGAUCAUGGCUCAGAUUGAACGCUGGCGGCAGGCCUAACACAUGCAAGUCGAACGGUAACAGGAAGCAGCUUGCUGUUUCGCUGACGAGUGGCGGACGGGUGAGUAAUGUCUGGGAAACU
This 135-nucleotide ribosomal RNA is filed under the name Shigella sonnei. RNAcentral's name for it is "partial 16S ribosomal RNA". It matches the Rfam family "Bacterial small subunit ribosomal RNA", at positions 1 to 126 of the family's 1533-position model. RNAcentral also lists the same sequence under 1 other name. The record is from RNAcentral. Lineage: Bacteria; Pseudomonadati; Pseudomonadota; Gammaproteobacteria; Enterobacterales; Enterobacteriaceae.